RNAcentral lists this long non-coding RNA (684 nucleotides) under Chrysemys picta bellii (western painted turtle). Its description in RNAcentral is "lncRNA (ENSCPBG00000027956.1)". Lineage: Eukaryota; Metazoa; Chordata; Testudines; Emydidae. The record is from RNAcentral.
AUGCAUGGGGUGGGGUUCUUUGUGUGCCACAGGCAUCCAUCAGCCUUCAAGGCUUGCCAGUUGGAUUCAUUUUUUUUUUCUCUCCUGGAAAGAGAACACGCUAAAAUAUUAGUAACAUUGGGCAUUCGGGAUCCAGGAAAACCAGGGUCUAAGCCCCCUCUGCAUUCAGUAGAAAUGAGGAUGACAGUGGCUAGCAGAUGUAUUGAAGGGAAUGUUAUACUGAUGGAGAUUCAGAGCUUUCAUCCCCUUUCCUUUCUCUCCCCCUCUCCUGUACUCAUUCGUGUGAAACUGCAAGAUUCUUCCAGUGGCCGGGUGAGGAAGUUGCCUCUCAGCAAGGACAAAAGGGAAAUGAGGGAAAUUUUACAAGAAAAUUUUCAUUUUAGUUAAAAAGCCAUUUUCCACCAAAACAUUUUUCAGUGAAAAAAUUUGAACUGACUAAAAUACCCUGACCUCAGUCCUGAGGAACAGCCUAAAGCUGGAAACGGGGGAAGAAAUGGAGUAAGACAAGAAAUGAGGGUGAAAAAAUCAGAAGAGGACAGAGAAUUGGAGAGGAAAAGAAGCCGAAAAAAGGAAGCAAAACUAGAAGAUAGUCAAGAAGAGGGAGAAUUAGGCCAGGACGGGAAGAGGGAAAGCAAUCCAUGCAACAUAAAGAGCAGAAUGAAAUAAAACACAAGGAAGAGAGCA